GGCGCUGCGCCGGGUGAACGGACUGCAUUGAUGAUGUGGAUUACGGAACUAAAGGGUUCCCAGUGCUG
RNAcentral lists this transfer RNA (68 nucleotides) under Titiscania limacina. RNAcentral's name for it is "tRNA-Ile". Lineage: Eukaryota; Metazoa; Mollusca; Gastropoda; Cycloneritida; Neritopsidae. The record is from RNAcentral.